UUAUUGCAAAUUUGAAAAGUUCAAACAACGAACUAAUAUUGAUAGUUGAUAGUACUUGCAGAUCCACCAAGUCGCCACUAGGUAUUAAGAAAGUUGUGAAAAAGUUGAAUAAAUAUAAACAAGUAGGGGAACUGUAUUCGCCUCUAGUCGAAUCCUAGGCAUGUCACUUAAGGUCAAAAUAUAUGGAAAUUAUGGUUUGUUUUUUCUUAUUUGCUAGUUCCUAUAAGUGGCUAAUUGGGUUUUUCUGCUUGAUUGCGAUUUAUUUGAGUCCGAUAAGUAAGUAGUUUAGUCAGAUCUCGAUCGGUCAUCUGUUAGGUUUGCAGUUUUAUUAAAGGAAACAUUUUUGCAAUUGUUUGAGAUAGAUUUCUAGUUAUUGAAUGAAUGCAUAUAGGCAGAUCAGAUUUAGCCGAAGUCUGAGAAUAUAUAUAUAUAUAUAUAUUCCUCAUCGUCUCGAAAGUUUCACGCGGUUUAUAUCUACAUUUUAAAAUUUGAAAGUCAUGAAGAGAAUGUGAUAUAAGAAGCUGCAAUUGGUUCAAUGAUUUAAAUUUGCAGGGCUCAUGCUUGAUCUUUUUGCUAAGACGCCGGUGAUAGUUAAAGAAGAGAAAUGAUUUAAAAUGAGUUAAUACUUGCCGGCAGCAAUAGAUGUGAAAUUUUAACAAAAAUUCUACGAAAGCAAAUUUUUAUUGAAAUAUUCGACGCGAACGCCACGCCUUCGAUUAAGUAAAAUUAUAAUUUUCGUAUAAAUAUUUAGCCAAGGCGAUGGGUGUCUGAGAUGCGCACCGAAACCGAUGUAAAGUUUUUUCGCUUGUUUUUCUCUCACCUUCUUUUUCUCUUCUCUUUUUCUCUUUCUAUCUCUCUCUCUUUGUUAUUUGUUUUUUUUCCCCCCAUUUGAUUGUCUAUUAAAAAAUGUAUGCAAGUGUGUGUCAUUUUCCUGUUGAGCGAAAAUAUUUUUUUAAUGCGUUAGAUGAUUUUUAACUUUGAACGAGAUAACAACAACACGCUUUGCAAACGACAAAAGGAUUUUCUUUCAUUUUUCAUUUUAUUGAGUAAAGAAAAGCUUUCGUUUACUGCGGUUUCUCGCUAACGUGUUUGAAUCAACUUCCGUUUUUACGUUAUUACGUGAUUCAGUUUUUUUUUUUUCUGUUUUUCUUUUCUUUUUUUUUUUUUCUUAAACGGAUCUUUAACCAUUGUUUAGUGUUUUAGUGGAAAAAUGCAUUUAAUAAAUCGCAUUUAUUAUUACAAUUAUUUAUGUUUUCGUCAUUUUUCUAAUCGACAUGAAGUUGCUUUAGCUGGCAACACUUGAACACAAGUUUAAGAUCAGCAAGAAUACGUACUUUCUCGAGCAUAAAUUUAUAAAACAAAAACUGACAAGAAUUUGCUCAAGUUGAAGUAUCUAUAAUAAGAGUAAACUCUUGAAGAAUUUCAAAAAAA
Molecule: long non-coding RNA, 1431 nt
Organism: Glossina fuscipes
Lineage: Eukaryota; Metazoa; Arthropoda; Insecta; Diptera; Glossinidae
Exons: 2
Source: RefSeq, a predicted model, not a curated record